GGCGCUGUGGCUUAGUUGGUUAAAGCGCCUGUCUUGUAAACAGGAGAUCCUGAGUUCGAAUCUUUGUUAAAGCGCCU
Non-coding RNA from Dallia pectoralis (Alaska blackfish), 77 nucleotides. The record is from the annotation of a GenBank genome assembly. Lineage: Eukaryota; Metazoa; Chordata; Actinopteri; Esociformes; Umbridae.